RNAcentral lists this ribosomal RNA (261 nucleotides) under uncultured bacterium. RNAcentral's name for it is "partial 16S ribosomal RNA". It matches the Rfam family "Bacterial small subunit ribosomal RNA", at positions 92 to 353 of the family's 1533-position model. The record is from RNAcentral.
CGAGUGGCGGACGGGUGGAGUAAUGUCUGGGAAACUGCCUGAUGGAGGGGGAUAACUACUGGAAACGGUAGCUAAUACCGCAUAACGUCGCAAGACCAAGAGGGGGACCUUCGGGCCUCUUGCCAUCGGAUGUGCCCAGAUGGGAUUAGCUAGUAGGUGGGGUAACGGGCUCACCUAGGCGACGAUCCCUAGCUGGUCUGAGAGGAUGACCAGCCACACUGGAACUGAGACACGGUCCAGACUCCUACGGGAGGCAGCAUG